RNAcentral lists this long non-coding RNA (442 nucleotides) under Homo sapiens (human). Its description in RNAcentral is "non-protein coding TUSC8:9". The record is from RNAcentral. Lineage: Eukaryota; Metazoa; Chordata; Mammalia; Primates; Hominidae.
UUGCAUUUGCCCCAGAUGCUCCCUGGCUGCGGGAAGAGACACAGCAAACAGCAGUGCUGCGGAGGUAUGUCUAAUUGCAGAUACUUUUUGUUCAUCAUCGUAUUGAACGUCGUUGCGUGUUCCAGCAGCCAUCAACUUCCUCAGGAGGAAAAUUCAAUUGUGCACUGAGCGACAGCGUGAAGAGACCGGGCCAAGCAGGCAGGGUGCUGCAGGUCAACAAGGUGCUGCUGUGCUCCUGAAGCCUUCAGGAGCCUCAGCCUGAGAGCUCAGGAAAGGGUGGGGCUCCAACCCACCUGGCUUUCCGCCUUACUGAGCUCCAAACACAGGCUUGUUCCACAUCACGGAGAGCCCUUAUCCUGCAUGUGCGUCUCGCUCCCUGACAAGCCUAUUUGUGCCUUGUCACCAGAAAUGUACCUUUUUUCUUCUCUCAUCUGUCCCUGAC